AUUAAUUAAAAUAUUUUAGGUUCUUGUUUAAGAUUAAUAGGGAAAAAGGUGAGAUACCUUUGCAGCCCCCGCUACUGUAAUGUGGACGAAACUUUUAACCACUGUGGAAAACAUGGGAAGGAAAAGAAGUAGGAUGAAGCAGAGCCAGGAGACCUGCCUAUAAUAUAAAGCCAUU
Terrisporobacter sp. is the source of this 175-nucleotide regulatory RNA element. The record is from Rfam. Lineage: Bacteria; Bacillati; Bacillota; Clostridia; Peptostreptococcales; Peptostreptococcaceae.